This 4380-nucleotide long non-coding RNA is filed under the name Taeniopygia guttata (zebra finch). RNAcentral's name for it is "lncRNA (ENSTGUG00000029500.1)". The record is from RNAcentral. Lineage: Eukaryota; Metazoa; Chordata; Aves; Passeriformes; Estrildidae.
GUUAGGUGUUUAUUUUUAAAUCAGGUACAUGUGCCCAGACCAUGGCAGGAUGUUUGAACUGUGCACAUCAGGUCUUUCACCCACUGUUUAUAUGAAUGUCAUUCACUAGCCGGCCUCUGCGGAAGAUAAACAGAUUGAAGAGCGAUGUGGACAUAUCAGAGUUCUGCAUUGCUUCCGCCUCUAACUCUGCUCCUGCUGCCGCAAGAAAUAAAACCUCUUGACCAGAAGCAUCUCAGAAAAAACAGGGAAGGGAGAAAAAGCAUUGGUCACAAACCAGGAGGCAGAGAACAGUGCAAAUCAGACAUCUACACCAAAAUGUUUAGAGAUGGGUGUUCUUGAAACCAUGAGACGCCUAGGGCAAUUGUCAGGAGUCUGAAGAUGACAGACAAAAAGCAACUGAAACAAAGACCAAAAAGACACAUGAUCCAUUUACCUGGCAUAAAAUAUUCCACAUGCACGCCAGAGAGACUUGCUAAAGGGACUGCAGGAUGGCCAAAUCCUUGCUGACAUUUGGAUCACUGGGCUUCUUCCUCACUCCAACUCUUGUGAAGUCUCAGAACCCACAAAGUCAAGCAGUUGGCUUGGACCUAUGCAUGGUGCAGGCAGAAGGGCUUAAAGGCUAAUCACAAACGCUAUAUUCUUUGAUACAGUGCAAUACCAUGGUCAAAUUGACAAAAAACAUGGGCACAAGCUCUAAGCCAGAAGUAAUUUUUGAUAGAACCAUCCUUGCCCUCUUUCUGCAGUGGAUGAUCCCAAGGUUUCACACACUGUUAUAACCAAAAGACAAAAUCCACAUGUAUUCAGUAGUCUGUGUCCAUUUUCUACUUUCCCCAGAUGUUUUCCCUUCAUUUUCCCCUCCUCUGCAGGAAUACCAGACGUAUGCCCUACAAAUAAGAGGUUUAAUCCCUGUAAUUCAGGGGAAAAGGCCCUAACUCUGUUGGAGAUCAACCAAAGUCACUCCUGCAGCCAUACCAAACCAGGAAUAGCAGUUGUGUUUGGGCUGUCAGCUGCAUGCUGUGGGUGCACUCCUACCCCUGAAGUUAGCCAUGAAACUCACUCUGGCUGUUGUGAGAGUAGGUUUAGGGUUAGUGCUUCUGAAAAUCCCACUCAUGGAAUACCACCUUUACCUUCAAAAGGUAAUUAGAAUAAUAAUUCAACAUAUGUACCUGAGACAGGGCGGACAGCUAAGAGCAAAAGGGAUAUUUGCAGCACUCAUUUCUAUGUUCAGGAUUUUAGAGUGCAAAAUAUUCUCGUGGCUAUUAUCUAAAGGUCACUUUCACUAGAGACUAAGGUGAACAAAAGGCAGAUGAUAUGGGGAACUCUCCCUUCACACAUUUUAUCAUGUUGCCUGAUAGAAUUAACAAGUAAAAGGACAGCAAGACCACGUGCAAUCCCCCAAUAGCCCCAAAACUCCAGCGUUACUCUUGGGUAGCUCAUAGACCCAGACUGCAAAAGAAAAAUCCAAGUAACAAAAUAGCAGCAUUUAGUGGCAAAACAAGGCCUUAAGCCUCUGACACACAACUUGCUGGCUGUACCAAAACGUUUACUGAUAAAAAUUGUUGGUGGAACAAAGGGACGUAGAAGCAGCAAGGAUGGGGUAAAGAUAAUUUCUUCUGCAUGGGAGAACCAAUGAAUUCACCACUCAAAUAUCUGCAAACUCAGAGUGGAAAGACCACUUCCCUUGCAUUCGAAGUACUAUCAUGAGUUUCCCUUCAGGCUAUGAUACCAUCAAAGCCCAGUGUACUUCCUGUGUGGCACACUGUCCCCUGGCUGAAGGGCUAUCUUCUGAAAAGAUGAAAACAUCAAAUGCUGGGUAUUUCCCAUGAAUCAGCCCUAACCCCAGGUAUUUGAGAUGCAAUCUAAUUCUGCUGCACCAUGGGGACAAAAGUACAUAUAACUCCUAUUUUCUGUUUUGUGAGCAAUCAGAACAUCAAGUCAUCUUUUGAGCAACAGGAGAGUGCAGGCCUGAGCGUCCUUGGGGUGGGUGAGAGGACAGUUUGCUGCUGCUUAAGGCACUAAUCCAUGGACAUGGUUAGGGCAGACCCUAUAACAGAUUAUUGCUCUCAUCAGCUUACAGUGGUAACUUCCCCACGCCAUUCCCAUAGUUUUGGAAUAAAGAUUUCCAGAUGCACACCCCCAUGUCACUACCUGGGCCCACACCAGCACCAAGCAUUAUUUCCCAUUUCUACGGAUAAGCCCCAAUCCUCACUUAAUGCAUCACAGUCAGUGAAUUUCCCACAUGGCCCCUGAAGGCAACCUUGUGUCUCUGCUCCUCCUUGGAACCACAGCUGCAGGGUAAGAACUCCAAGUCCCAGUUCCAAGCUUUUUGGUUCAGAGUCUCAUCAUUUCCCAUCCUGAGCUGGGUGGGGGGAGACAAAGGCCAUCAGUCUGUCUGCAGAACAGGCUGGCUCUGUUUGCCCCAUGCCCCAGACAACAGAGAUUGUCGACUUUUAAUAGAGCACUCAGGUUUCCAUUGAUGCCAGCUGCAGAUAGAACAGUCCAGCAGCAAACAAGUUCAGUCCCUGGGGGCUGCUCAGAUUCUCCUCUUAUUUGUUAGUUUACCUGUAAAAUACAGUUGGGCUAAUUCUUGCUAGUGUGGUUGUAAAGUAUAUGUUUCCCUCCUCUUUGGAGCAAGUAAGGGGAAAAACCAAGCAAGUGCAGCGAGGCCAAUGGAGUAAGACAGCAUUUCCCAUGGCUUUGGAAACAGCAGGUAUUUUCUGCUGGGGAUUGUUUGCUGAACACCCUGUGCAGAGGUGAAGCUGUGCAGCACUUUAUAAUAACUAAGACCCAUUCACUACACACAAAAGUGCAGGAGGCAUCCUAAUAUCUCCAUGUUCAGAUGGGCUGAAAUCCAAUAGCUCCUCAUGACAUCAGCUGUUGAAUUUAUUACAUGCUUAUUACAAGGCCAAGAAAGGAGAAGGAAUUACCAGAAAAUUGUCUUACUUGAUUUUUAAACUUUAAUGAAAACAUUUUAAUCACACCUGAAAGCAUCAUAGUACUGAAAUGGACCGCAAUGCUAACCUGCAAUUCAAACCCCCACUUACAUUCCAUACAUGAGAAUGUCUCCUUGGACUCCUGUUAGGAUUCACCCUUGUCACCAAAAUACUGUUUAUUUUAACUGCAAAAUUUGCUGCUUCUUAGUCCUGAAAGCAUUAAAAGCUGUGAUUUACACAGGAGCCAUGAAAGAGAAAAGCUGCAGGGCUGAAAUUGGGUCCAGGCUGUGUUUGGAUGCUUGGCACCUGAGUGUUUGAUGACAGCUCUGAUUUAGGGCUGUGAGUGCAGAAUACUUAAACCAGUCUUGCAGGUCAAGACUGAAAUGCACCUACAGAACAAAGAUAACUUGCAUAUCACCUGUGUACAGUGUAUUUUGCACCAAAGUAGUCCACAUUCCUAAACAUUUUCUUACACAUUAAAAUAUACACAUUUCUUUUUCUAAGGAAAAUGGAUUCUAAUAAAACCCAAAAAUAAACACAUGUCUUGGGGCAGCAGGCUCCACACAGGUGCAGUUUUGCUGCUGAUGCCAAAUAAAAGCAGAGUGAAUAACUCUGAAAAUAUCAACUAGAAUAUAAGUGUAGAUAGCUUGAUUUAAAAAAAACUUCUGAGAGUUUUCCACAAGAUAUUUGCAUAAGCUGGCUAGGGAAAAGUCUCCUAGAGAAAUUCAUUAUAGACUGAGCAUGAGACUGUUUGGAGAACAUUAAGAGAAUAGUUAUAAAUGCUAUGCUGUUUGGGAGAGUGUAUUAAGCAUGGUUCACAGAAGCCUGUCCUUGAGCUAAUUCUAUUCAAUAUUUUCAUUCAUGAUCUCAAUGACUGGAUAGAUCAGUUGGAAUGAAUAUGCUGGAGGAAAUAACUAGAAUUUGAACCCAGCAAACUGGAACUGUAGUUUGAAAAAAUAAGAAGCUAUUUAAGAUGGGAUGUUGAAAUGUUUAAGCACAGAAUGAGAAAUGGAAGCCUAUAUCAAGAAACCUACAGAGGCAUCAUGAUCUGAGCUCACACAAACUCCUAAAUGUGCAAAACCUGCAGACAGGGAAGCAUAAACAGGAAGACGUCCUGAGACACCCCCAAAGUUAAAAUCCUACUUGAAUUAGUCAGCUCUCACGAGGUCUUAGCUAGAGAACUGCCUGGCUGAGAGAAAUGUACUUAAGAAAAGACACUGACCAUUUGGAGAAACUCAGGAAGACAGAAACAAGCCCAGGUCCAGGAAACACAGCCCCCAAGGGAGAGACUGUACCAACAAAGAACAUUUAGUCCAGAGGAAAGAAGAUUGAUCACAUCCAUGCUCAAUCUUCAAGUACAUAAAGAAUGCUGCAAAGUGAAAAAGAAUAGACUGUUCUCUGUAUCACAGUGGAACGGGAUAAAAUAUAUAAAAUAUAUAUAUAUAUA